CUGCCAUCAAACACACACGCACACAAAGAACAAAAAACAAAGAACAAAGAAAGAAGAAGGUCAC
This 64-nucleotide non-coding RNA is filed under the name Pseudopedinella elastica. The record is from RNAcentral. Lineage: Eukaryota; Dictyochophyceae; Pedinellales.